Molecule: ribosomal RNA, 1522 nt
Filed under: Salmonella enterica subsp. enterica serovar Anatum
Lineage: Bacteria; Pseudomonadati; Pseudomonadota; Gammaproteobacteria; Enterobacterales; Enterobacteriaceae
Description: partial 23S ribosomal RNA
Rfam family: Bacterial large subunit ribosomal RNA
Source: RNAcentral
UGUGAGGGUUGCUGGAGGUAUCAGAAGUGCGAAUGCUGACAUAAGUAACGAUAAAGCGGGUGAAAAGCCCGCUCGCCGGAAGACCAAGGGUUCCUGUCCAACGUUAAUCGGGGCAGGGUGAGUCGACCCCUAAGGCGAGGCCGAAAGGCGUAGUCGAUGGGAAACGGGUUAAUAUUCCCGUACUUGGUGUUACUGCGAAGGGGGGACGGAGAAGGCUAUGUUGGCCGGGCGACGGUUGUCCCGGUUUAAGCGUGUAGGUGUGUGUUCCAGGUAAAUCCGGUUCACUUUAACACUGAGGCGUGACGACGAGGCACUACGGUGCUGAAGCAACAAAUGCCCUGCUUCCAGGAAAAGCCUCUAAGCAUCAGGUAACAUCAAAUCGUACCCCAAACCGACACAGGUGGUCAGGUAGAGAAUACCAAGGCGCUUGAGAGAACUCGGGUGAAGGAACUAGGCAAAAUGGUGCCGUAACUUCGGGAGAAGGCACGCUGACACGUAGGUGAAGUGAUUUACUCAUGGAGCUGAAGUCAGUCGAAGAUACCAGCUGGCUGCAACUGUUUAUUAAAAACACAGCACUGUGCAAACACGAAAGUGGACGUAUACGGUGUGACGCCUGCCCGGUGCCGGAAGGUUAAUUGAUGGGGUCAGCGCAAGCGAAGCUCCUGAUCGAAGCCCCGGUAAACGGCGGCCGUAACUAUAACGGUCCUAAGGUAGCGAAAUUCCUUGUCGGGUAAGUUCCGACCUGCACGAAUGGCGUAAUGAUGGCCAGGCUGUCUCCACCCGAGACUCAGUGAAAUUGAACUCGCUGUGAAGAUGCAGUGUACCCGCGGCAAGACGGAAAGACCCCGUGAACCUUUACUAUAGCUUGACACUGAACAUUGAGCCUUGAUGUGUAGGAUAGGUGGGAGGCUUUGAAGUGUGGACGCCAGUCUGCAUGGAGCCGACCUUGAAAUACCACCCUUUAAUGUUUGAUGUUCUAACGUGGACCCGUGAUCCGGGUUGCGGACAGUGUCUGGUGGGUAGUUUGACUGGGGCGGUCUCCUCCUAAAGAGUAACGGAGGAGCACGAAGGUUGGCUAAUCCUGGUCGGACAUCAGGAGGUUAGUGCAAUGGCAUAAGCCAGCUUGACUGCGAGCGUGACGGCGCGAGCAGGUGCGAAAGCAGGUCAUAGUGAUCCGGUGGUUCUGAAUGGAAGGGCCAUCGCUCAACGGAUAAAAGGUACUCCGGGGAUAACAGGCUGAUACCGCCCAAGAGUUCAUAUCGACGGCGGUGUUUGGCACCUCGAUGUCGGCUCAUCACAUCCUGGGGCUGAAGUAGGUCCCAAGGGUAUGGCUGUUCGCCAUUUAAAGUGGUACGCGAGCUGGGUUUAGAACGUCGUGAGACAGUUCGGUCCCUAUCUGCCGUGGGCGCUGGAGAACUGAGGGGGGCUGCUCCUAGUACGAGAGGACCGGAGUGGACGCAUCACUGGUGUUCGGGUUGUCAUGCCAAUGGCACUGCCCGGUAGCUAAAUGCGGAAGAGAUAA